This 253-nucleotide ribosomal RNA is filed under the name uncultured bacterium. RNAcentral's name for it is "partial 16S ribosomal RNA". It matches the Rfam family "Bacterial small subunit ribosomal RNA", at positions 524 to 776 of the family's 1533-position model. The record is from RNAcentral.
UACGGAGGGUGCAAGCGUUGUCCGGAAUCACUGGGCGUAAAGGGCGCGUAGGCGGCCAGUUGCGUCUGCUGUGAAAUCCCGGGGCUCAACCCCGGGCGUGCAGUGGAUACGGGCUGGCUAGAGGCAGGCAGGGGAGAACGGAAUUCCCGGUGUAGCGGUGAAAUGCGCAGAUAUCGGGAGGAACACCGGUGGCGAAGGCGGUUCUCUGGGCCUGUACUGACGCUGAGGAGCGAAAGCGUGGGGAGCGAACAGG